This 468-nucleotide ribosomal RNA is filed under the name uncultured bacterium. RNAcentral's name for it is "partial 16S ribosomal RNA". It matches the Rfam family "Bacterial small subunit ribosomal RNA", at positions 28 to 507 of the family's 1533-position model. The record is from RNAcentral.
GACGAACGCUGGCGGCGUGCUUAACACAUGCAAGUCGAACGGAAAGGCCCUGCUUUUGUGGGGUGCUCGAGUGGCGAACGGGUGAGUAACACGUGAGUAUCCUGCCCUUUACUUUGUGAUAACUUCAGGCAACUGGUGCUACUACCGGAUAGGAGCUCCUGCUGCAUGGUGGGCGUUGGACCGUUUCGGUGGUUGGGGGUGUACUCGCGGCUUAUCAGCUUGUUGGUGGGGUAGUGGCUUACCAAGGCUUUGACGGGUAGCCGGCCUGGGAGGGUGACCGGGGACAUGGGGACUGAGAGACGGCGCAGACGCGUAUGGGAGGCAGCAGUGGGGAAUAUUGUACAACGGGGGGGAGCCUGAUGCAGAAAUGUCGCGUGUGGGAUGACGGCCUUCGGGGUGUAAACCGCUGUCGGCUGUGACGAAGCGGGAGUGACGGUAAUGGGUAAAGAAGCACCGGCUAACUACGUG